RNAcentral lists this ribosomal RNA (468 nucleotides) under uncultured bacterium. RNAcentral's name for it is "partial 16S ribosomal RNA". It matches the Rfam family "Bacterial small subunit ribosomal RNA", at positions 28 to 507 of the family's 1533-position model. The record is from RNAcentral.
GACGAACGCUGGCGGCGUGCUUAACACAUGCAAGUCGAACGGAAAGGCCCUGCUUUUGCGGGGUGCUCGAGUGGCGAACAGGUGAGUAACACGUGAGUAACCUGCCCUUGACUUUGGGAUAACUUCAGGAAACUGGGGCUAAUACCGGAUAGGAGCUCCUGCUGCAUGGUGGGGGUUGGAAAGUUUCGGCGGUUGGGGAUGGACUCGCGGCUUAUCAGCUUGUUGGUGGGGUAGUGGCUUACCAAGGCUUUGACGGGUAGCCGGCCUGAGAGGGUGACCGGCCACAUUGGGACUGAGAUACGGCCCAGACUCCUACGGGAGGCAGCAGUGGGGAAUAUUGCACAAUGGGCGGAAGCCUGAUGCAGCAACGCCGCGUGCGGGAUGACGGCCUUCGGGUUGUAAACCGCUUUCGCCUGUGACGAAGCGUGAGUGACGGUAAUGGGUAAAGAAGCACCGGCUAACUACGUG